GAGACAUAUAAUGAAAUGCUAUCUUUUUUAUUUUUGUGAAAGAGAACACCACAGUUUUGGUGGCUUUGAUCAAAUGACCACAGGAAAGGUUAGAAAGGAAGGGUGAUCCCUGAUUAUAAAAAGUUUUGGAAAACUUUUAAUCAUUUUCCUCUGAUUGAUCUAAUCAUUAUUGUAAAAAGGGACUACAGUUACUAUUUCUAUAACAAUGUUAUGUCAGUAUGAGUCACAAAGAGUAAGGGUCGGAGGAAGAAAGCUCUGAGUAUGCAACAGUUGCAACCUUGCUUUGAAAGGCCUGAAUGGCAUACAUAAAUCCAUACAUACAAAUAAGUUGAGACACUAUAACACUCACAGCUUUUAAUUCCAAAAUUAAACAAUCCAAAAUACAUGGGAGGUUCUCACCACAAAUGCUUCUUUUCUAUUUUUCCUAUUUCUUAUCUUCCUUAGCUAUUCAGGGAUGAAGACAACAGGACAUGAGAAUAGGAAAGAGCAGCAGACUCUAUUUAUGUAUUGUAGAAAAUUUUCAUAUAUAAAAAUAAAUAACAAAAUUAAUAGAUCCAUCAAAGCUUUGUGAAAAAACACAAAUCAGGAAAAAACAAUAUGGUCUGGCACUACUCUUUUAAACCUGUGUGAAAUUCUCUCUGAAACCAUGAGAAUUUUCAAUUUCUCAUCAUAAUGAUGCUUCAAUGCUUGGGCCUUGCAAUGAGGACUAUGUGUCCACUACUGGCUAUCGAUAACAUACAGUCUGUGCCCAAAAUCACCAGUGGAAAUUAAUGGCUAAUGUAAAACCCUGUUACUAUUCAUCUUUGAAAGAAAAGAAUUAUUUUUCUGUCAUCAGUCAUCCACCCUGCAACAAAAACUGAAUGCAAGUCUUAAUGCUGUGAUUCAUUUUUCCAGUCAGAUCAAGAAAGAAAUAAACCUGCAACUAAAAGUGUGAAAAUACUGAAUUGUGUUCCUUGGAGUAACCAGACUUCUUCUGUGGGAACUGCUAGAAGAAAAAAUUUCAAUGUUACAUCAAGGCUACUUGGGAAAUGAAUUCUUAAAAAUGCCAUAAGGACAAUCUGCCUUCCAGAUUUGUCACCCUUCUCAAGAUAGAAAUUUCAGUAUUAACAAUACGUCCAAAGCAGAGUCAAGAAGAAAACCAUAGGGAAAAUGUACUACUUGUACUUUCACUGGAUCCAGUAAAAGGAACCACUUGGGCUGUAUAUCUACCUUGUGCUUUAAACAAGCAAGCAUUCAUCUCUGAAGAUGGGUUGCAGUAAAAGAACUGCAAAACAGCACAAGACAGAGUGGAGGAAGAAGGAAGCUCCAUUAUGGAUGUGAAGAAAAGGAAUAAGAUGCUGUAUUGUGUUGCUGAGCAGAUUGAAGUUACUCAAGACUUGAAUGCUGAAACACUGGCAGAUUAUUCAUAGGAAUGUGCUGACCACAAUAACAUCCGCUACAAAGCAAUGGAAAUUUGAAGGCAUCUUUUAACUGAGGAAACAUCACUGUGAUUUGCUGUCAAUUAGAAGCCUGCAGGGAGAUUCACAGAAAGAUCCCAUCAAGAGAUAUCCAAUCUGUUCUAUGGCAAGUUUGAUAUCAGCAGAUGUCAUGGAGACUCAAGAAGGUUCCUUAUCAUUUCCCACUGUAUGAAGUAAGAAUUGUAUCUUUACUUUUUGAAACAUGUACAAGAGCUUUAUCAAAAUUAUCUCUGAAGGGCUGCUAUGAAUACUAGAGCAGAUAAAUACACGUGACUUGGAAGAAAUCCCAUGCCAAUUUAAUAAAGCUUCUGAUGUUCGGGCACAGUUUGAGAUACUUGUCUAAAGUCUAAAUCAAGCUGUUGUGGAUUGUCUCAUGACUCUGUUCAUUGCUGAUUCACCUUUAAAUUUAAAUUGAGCUUUUGUUAAGAGUCAUUUGAA
Zonotrichia albicollis (white-throated sparrow) is the source of this 1895-nucleotide non-coding RNA. Lineage: Eukaryota; Metazoa; Chordata; Aves; Passeriformes; Passerellidae. The record is from RefSeq and is a predicted model, not a curated record.